Molecule: ribosomal RNA, 203 nt
Filed under: uncultured bacterium
Lineage: Bacteria
Description: partial 16S ribosomal RNA
Rfam family: Bacterial small subunit ribosomal RNA
Source: RNAcentral
UACGUAGGGUGCGAGCGUUGUCCGGAAUUAUUGGGCGUAAAGAGCUUGUAGGUGGUUUGUCGCGUCUGCUGUGAAAAUCCGAGGCUCAACCUCGGACUUGCAGUGGGUACGGGCAGACUAGAGUGUGGUAGGGGAGACUGGAAUUCCUGGUGUAGCGGUGGAAUGCGCAGAUAUCAGGAGGGAAACACCCGGUGGGCGAAAGG